Molecule: ribosomal RNA, 496 nt
Filed under: uncultured bacterium
Lineage: Bacteria
Description: partial 16S ribosomal RNA
Rfam family: Bacterial small subunit ribosomal RNA
Source: RNAcentral
AUUGAACGCUGGCGGAAUGCUUUACACAUGCAAGUCGAACGGUAGAGGGGGCAACCCCUCGAGAGUGGCGAACGGGUGAGUAAUAUAUCGGAACGUGCCCAGUCGUGGGGGAUAACGUAGCGAAAGUUACGCUAAUACCGCAUACGAUCUAAGGAUGAAAGCGGGGGAUCGCAAGACCUCGCGCGAUUCGCGCGGACGAUAUCAGAUUAGGUAGGUGGUGGGGUAAAGGCUCACCAAGCCACCGAUCUGUAGCUGGUCUGAGAGGACGACCGGCCACACUGGAACUGAGACACGGUCCAGACUCCUACGGGAGGCAGCAGUGGGGAAUUUUGGACAAUGGCCGCAAGUCUGAUCCAGCCAUUCCGCGUGCAGGAUGAAGGCCCUCGGGUUGUAAACUGCUUUUGUACGGAACGAAAAGGUCUCUCUUAAUACGGGGGACUCAUGACGGUACCGUAAGAAUAAGCACCGGCUAACUACGUGCCAGCAGCCGCCGUAA